Molecule: transfer RNA, 77 nt
Filed under: Allohoeflea poritis
Lineage: Bacteria; Pseudomonadati; Pseudomonadota; Alphaproteobacteria; Hyphomicrobiales; Rhizobiaceae
Description: tRNA-Met
Rfam family: tRNA
About the family: Transfer RNA (tRNA) molecules are approximately 80 nucleotides in length. Their secondary structure includes four short double-helical elements and three loops (D, anti-codon, and T loops).
Source: RNAcentral
UGUGGGGUGGAGCAGCCCGGUAGCUCGUCAGGCUCAUAACCUGAAGGUCGCAGGUUCAAAUCCUGCCCCCGCAACCA